CUAACCCCAACGAAGUCAAAUUGGAAUGCAUGCUUCUUGCUGUUAAGCGUACCAGUAAAGUUCGGUAUCGGAAGUAAAACUGUUAUCUAAUGCCUUAAAAAUGAAUGAAAGUGAUACGAUUCUUUGCUUCGUUAUUGAAACUUGCCUUAUCAGCUGUUACGCGUAAGAUGAUGCAACUAUAUGUAAAUUCAUUGCUAGCACAGACUUGGACGGAAUCAACUCUUCGGUCUCAAGACAGUUUGCAAGUUUUUCAUCCGGUUUUGGCGAAGUGACUGUGGUUGUAUUGCAAGACAUAAUCAAAAAUGGCAUUUUGCUCAUGGAGGGGUGAAGAAUAUUAUCGAGAUCAUUUUGAAUCAGGAACUUAUGUUUGCUCAGAAUGUGGGUAUGAACUUUUCACAAGUCUAUCAAAGUAUGAACAUGAAACACCCUGGCCAGCAUUUACCCAGCCAAUUCAUGAAAACUCUCUCUCAAAAACGCCAGAAAUUGGACGCCCAUUGGCCUUGAAGGUAUCAUGCGGCAAGUGUGGAAACAGUCUGGGCCAUGAAUUUCAAAAAGACAGAGAAGAUGGUGGAUCACGUUUCUGAAUAUUCAGUCACUCCUUGAAGUUUAUUCCACUUGAGAGUAACAAGACUUCAAAGGAGAUAACCAAACCUCAGGCAACAGAAGUUAAAACUACAACACAGUAACGUAUCAGUAAUUUGGAAGAAUUUAAUGUUCACAGUUCAUGUAGUUGAAGGAAUAUUGCCUACAGUUGGAAUUCACAAUUCAUGUAGUUGAAGGAUGAAAAUUUCAAGUUCUAUGCUAAAUAAUGAAGAAUGUUUUUUUUAAUAAGUCAGUUCAUGUUCUGUGAAUUUUUACAAUAGUUAUACAGUUUUGCAACUGUCAUAUAAAAAUGCUGCCUCAAAGAGAAGAAAUGUGAUAUGUAAAUUUGUUCUGUUGGCUGAAGUCAAGUUUACAAUGAUGCUGCCAUUUGAAACUCAUUAGAGAGAUUGGCUGGCUGAUGAACCCUUUAACUUGUCACUUCAGUCAUAAGUACAAAAUUUGUUACAGUUUAUGAAGAAUAAAGAAACAUAAAUGUUCAGA
This 1083-nucleotide long non-coding RNA is filed under the name Schistocerca americana (American grasshopper). Its description in RNAcentral is "uncharacterized LOC124595468". Lineage: Eukaryota; Metazoa; Arthropoda; Insecta; Orthoptera; Acrididae. The record is from RNAcentral.